GAAACCUUGAAAACAUUUUUCAUUAAUGUCUCACCUUGCUUCUUGUCCUUUAGAGUUGCAAGAUACUCCUUGCAGUUUUUCUUCCAAUUAUUUAUGAUAAACCUUGUUUCCUUGAACAUCAUUCUCUAGAGGGAUUAUCUUUGCAGGCUUAUUGAUCACAUCCAUAAGCUUUUCAUGCAUGAGAACAAUUUUCAAAUUUCUAUACCAGUCAUCAAAGUUUGGUCCUACCAAUUUGUUGGUCUCAAGUAUUUCA
RNAcentral lists this long non-coding RNA (253 nucleotides) under Nicotiana benthamiana. RNAcentral's name for it is "long non-coding RNA (NBEN_LNC017591)". The record is from RNAcentral. Lineage: Eukaryota; Viridiplantae; Streptophyta; Magnoliopsida; Solanales; Solanaceae.